RNAcentral lists this long non-coding RNA (2103 nucleotides) under Salmo salar (Atlantic salmon). RNAcentral's name for it is "lncRNA (ENSSSAG00000085455.1)". The record is from RNAcentral. Lineage: Eukaryota; Metazoa; Chordata; Actinopteri; Salmoniformes; Salmonidae.
UGUGCAGUUCAAGUCUGCAGACAUUUGCUAAUCUCCCGUCAGAACAGGAUCUGCACACGUGUUCACAUUUUCCAUCUGUUGCCCUCAUUGUUUUCGUUACUAAUAAUAACUUUGGAAAUGUGUGCGUUUCUAUCAAAUGGCGCAGCGGUCAAAGGCACAACACGGGGUCAAAGGCACAGCACGGUGCUAGAGACGUCACUACAGACUCCCUGGUUCAAAUCCAUGCUGCGUUUCUAACAUGGCUCUGUUCUGCCCUGCCUUGCCCCCUUGUGGAGCUCAAAAAAACCAAAAACAGUAUUUGCCAAUAUCAUAACUGGACAUCUUUCGAGCUGAAGAUUGAGGACAGCUUUUGUAUGCUAACGUUCUCUCCUUAACAGUUUUACUGGAUGGAAACACAGCAAGAAAACACAUAGGCCAAUAUUGACUGAACAACAACUGCAUUUCCACCCCCACCUCUAAAGGCAUAGUAUCAUGGCAGGUCACCUGUCAAGUCACCUGUCAGGCAGACUUUGCAGUGCCUCCGUGUGCGACUACCUUGAGCAGCAGUUUGAGGGACUUUGCAGGGAAAAUGCCGUGCAGUGAGGCGUAGGGGAUUGUCUAAAGCAGGGCGACCCCCAGUGGAGGGGCGCCGAGGGGUGUGGUGCUCCUCCAACAGCUCUCUCAUGAGGUUCUCUCUGUAUUUUUGGUGGUCCACCUUCCCUGUGGCCGACAUGGUUGCUGUAUGGACAGUGGAGAGGACAUGGACGUCUCUUUUGUCAUGCCACUAUACUGCCAGCUGUUGACCGUUCUCCUGGAACUCCACCUCCCCUCUCUGCAUCUUCCUGCAUCCGAAUGCCGGCAUCCCCGUCCUGUUCGACCUGACUGUGCCACAGGCCCCUGUGCUGUUGGAGAGCAGAUGCUGGAAGAGUGUGGGUCUGCUGUACCAAUUGUCCACGUACAAAGUGUGUCCCUUGCCGAGAUGAGGAGCCAGCAUGGUCAUCACCACGGACCCAGACACCCCAAGCCCCUCAUAAUGUUUGAUGUCAGUGGUAGACCCUGUGUACACUAUAAUAUCCAGGACAUAUCCUGUCUUCACGUCGCACAUGACAAAGAACUUGACCCCAAACCUGUGCCUUUUGGAGGGAAUAUAUUGACGGAACGCCAGCCUACCUUUCCAUAACAUCAGGGACUCAUCAAUGCAUAGGUCCUUGUAUGGCACAAAGACCCGACCAAAUGCUGAUGUCAGGCUGAUAAGAACAAUUCUUAUUUUGUAUAACUGGUCACUUAGGAUGGCAGUAGCAUUGUUGACGAAAUGCAGGCAUCGCAGCAGAAUUAGGAAGCGGUCUUGGGAAAAGAGGGUUGCAAAGAAGGGAGUUGCAAACAUAGGAUCUGUGCUCCAGUAGUCUCUUAGGGAGUUCUUCUUUACUAUCCCCAUGAGGAGGACUGUCACCAGGAAGGUAUACAUUUCACUAAUUGUGGUUGUCACCCAUUUAGCGAGUUUCCCCCUCACUCCUGGCUCUCUCUUCUCCUGUAGCUCCAAGGCAUAGCGAUUGGUCUCCUGUACUAUGUUUCCCACGAGCUCCUCUGUCAGAAACAACUUGAAGCACUCUGCCUCAGUUGGAAAUGGCAAGGGGCGUUGCACUCCAGACUGGGACUCGUCAAAGCAAACAGCAGGGCCAGGAGGGGUGAAAUGGCUGGCGGCCUUCCAGCUACCACAGAACUCUUGUACUUCAUCCACUGUCGGUCUGCCUCCAUCACCACCAGCAUCUUCAAAGGGACCUGGUACUUCGUCAGUGGACAAGGGAACCUCAGAUUCAGGGUUCUCAAUGGCUACAAGGUUGGGGGGCAGCUCCUCACUGUCACUGUCAGAAUCUGAUUCCUGACUUUCAUACUCAGACUCAUUGUCAGAAUUUAAAAAAAUCUCCAGAAUUUCCACAUUUGUGAGUUGUCUCCUUUUGAAAGACAUUGCUAUUGCUACAGCUUAGCUCACGAGCUACAUACAUAAACAACAACACUGAAUGGCUCAGAGUGAGAGGGUACGUGAUUGACUGCCGGCAUGCGUCACUUGUAUCAAUAAAUCACCAUCAGAAAAUGUUUUGUGUGGUAAUUAUUUGUGUAUUUACU